CCUACGGGAGGCAGCAGUGGGGAAUAUUGCACAAUGGGCGAAAGCCUGAUGCAGCAACGCAGCGUGAGCGAUGAAGGCCUUCGGGUCGUAAAGCUCUGUCCUCAAGGAAGAAAAUGACGGUACUUGAGGCGGAAUCCCCGGCUAACUUCGUGCCAGCAGCCCCGGUAAUAAGGGGGAUGCAAGCGUUAUCCGGAUUUAUCGGGUUUAAAGGGUGCGUAGGCUGUGAGGUAAGUCAGCGGUGAAAUGCCUCCGCUCAACGGGGUGAAGUGCCAUUGGUACUGCCUUGCUGGAAUGCGGAUGCCGUGGGAGGAAUGUGUGGUGUAGCGGUGAAAUGCAUAGAUAUCACACAGAACACCGAUUGCGAAGGCAUCUCACGAAUCCGCGAUUGACGCUGAUGCACGAAAGCGUGGGUAUCAAACAGGAUUAGAUACCCGGGUAGUC
This 441-nucleotide ribosomal RNA is filed under the name uncultured bacterium. Its description in RNAcentral is "partial 16S ribosomal RNA". It matches the Rfam family "Bacterial small subunit ribosomal RNA", at positions 338 to 795 of the family's 1533-position model. The record is from RNAcentral.